GGAACCUGGGUACGGUGAACUGUGAAAGGCAACUGCACAGUAGUCUUCAGUGGGCUGCACUUCUCCAGUGAAAGAUUUUUAUUGGCACGUAUGAGAACACAUGCAUGCCUUCUGUAAUGAGUGAAUGCAGGUGGAUUCAUUAAAGCACCUUUUCUCAAAAUUGAACACGGUUUUAACAAUUCACAAAAUUACUAUUACUGGAUUUAUGGUUUCACUCCUCUCAGCUCUGGCACAGAAAAGUAAAACAGAGCCUAAAAUGACUGUUGCAUAGAGCAAAGAAAGAACUAAGAAAGAUUAUUAGAAAGAUGGAGUCUUGCUCUUUCGCCAGGCUGGAGUGUAGUGAAAUGAUCUCCUCUGUCUCCCCGAUUCAAACGAUUCGCCUGCCUCAGCCACGUAGGUAGCUGGGAUUACAGACAUGCACCACCACACCCAGCUAAUUUUUUGUAUUUUAGUAGAGAUGCAGUUUCACCAUGGCCAGGAUGGUCUUGUACAGAUCCAAUUUUUUACCUGCCCUUUUGUCUCACCAUGAAAAUUAUUUGAUAUAGUAAAAUAUUAUUUAAAAUUAUUUUUAAAUUAUGUAAUAUUCAGAAUUAUUAAUUAUAAUAUUACAACAAAAUAAUGCCAACUAACUUUAAGAAAUAAAAUAUGCAGAAAAGAAUGUGUGUAGUAAAAACUAGAAAUUAACCCUGAUGAAAACACUUGCACAAAUAAUAUCUCUAUUAACUAUACAUAUUAUUCCUUUCUCAACUAGAUCGACAUAAAGGCUAUAUAGUUGCUCUGCUUUAUGCAAAAAUCACAUAGACCUAAUGUUCAUGAUUGCAUACAGAUUUGAAUAGAUACACCAUAAUUCAUGCAAUCAGAGAUCAAAAUUACAAUUCCAUCUGGUGGUACUUUAUAUUACACUGACCUUAAUUAAAAAAAAAAAAAAAAAAAAAAAAAACCACCUAAUUAUCUAAAACCAAAAACACAAAAGUGAGAGAGAGAGGAAGAGUGAGAGAAAAGAGAAAGAAAGGAAGAUGGAAUGAAAGAAAGGAAUGAAAAAAGGGAGGGAGGGAGAAAGGGAAGAAAGGGAAGGGAAAGAGGAAAAAGGGAAAACAAGAAAAGGAAUCUCAUAAAUAAGUAUAUGAUUUUAAGGGCAAAAAGGUCAAUACCAUCUAAUUAAAUAAAUUUUUGUUUUAUCAUUUCUCUUUUGAUGAAUGACUUAAAUGCAUGCUUUUAUUUGCCUAUAUGGAGCCAAAGAGCUUCUCAGAAUCAUAUGAGAUUUAUAUUUCCUUUAAAAGUUUGGUUACUAUACUUUAUUCAAUAUAAUUAAAACAAAAAAUAAAGACUAUGCAAUUUCUAAAAUGGAAAGAAUAAUACCUAUGUCAUGGGUUUAUUCUGAGUACUAGGGUGUUUAUUUUUCUAAAAUAGCUCCUACAUAAUUAGCACUAUGUAGGCAUUUGAAAAAGAAAGGAAGCAAGAUAAGAAGGGAGGAUGGUUACUCAAUGAUAUUUCUAUUUUGAGAAAUAUUUUCAGGAUAAAAAGUUAAUUUUUUUUUUCUAAAAGGUGCAUUAGCAAUUGGAAGGGGCUGAUUAGUAUUAAUUUGUUUUCAGAAUUACAGAAAUGUUUUUUUAGUUAAUAAAAAAACUGUAGAAGAAUGUUGGUACCACUUCAUCAUUCUUUAAGGAUAAGCCAGCACCUGUUUACACUAUUGGCGACAUUGUUUUCACCACCCAUUUAGUAUGCUGAUAACUGAUCCUGAAGCUCCUUACACUGGUAAUACAAUCUGCAUGCCUAGAAUGGUCCUUUACUUCUAUGAGUGUUUCACUAAUUGAAAUCUUUUGAGUUGCAAAAUUAUUAUAUUUUAAUAUAUUAAAUAAUGAUGUUUAGUGCAUUUAUUUGGAAAAUAUGUUAUCCACUUUUAUUUCUCAAAAUUACUUUUGUCUAAAGGUUUUUUCCUUGUAAAUAUAAGGUUCUCCUUGUUUUUAUUUAUACUAUGAGUCAAGAGGUCAUGUUAAAGUAAAGACAAAGUAGAGAACUUUCAUAUAAAAAAGAAAGUUCUGUAAAUGAGCCUGAAUAGAAGUAACUGGUUUUAAAGCAGUGUCUACUGCUUCAAUAUGAGGGAAAGAAUAAUGAAUAAGUAUCUCUAUAUGUAUCAGUAAAUAAACACAUUUAUGUAUGCAUACACAUAUAUAUGCACAUGUACACAUUAUGUAAAUUUAUAUUAAAUUAGUCAUUUAUAUUUUUUAUUAGUCUGAACAGACAUAUAAAUAUACAUAUGUAUAAUCAUAGAUGAAAUAAAAAUAUGAUAGAAUCAUGUAAAUAAUCUAUACUUGCAUACAAACCAUAAAGUGUUUUAUCUUGAAGUGUUAAUGAAAACUUAAAUCUUGGUCCUGCAGAUUUGGUCUAUUUUAUUUUUUAAAUUAAACACAAAAUAAUGAUAAAAAUCAUCAUUUAUUGAAUGGUAGCCAUUAUCAGGUAUUGUACUAGAAGUGUUCAAUAUAUUGCCAUAUUAGAUUCUAAAACAAUUUAGUGAUCUAGGUACUAUUAUUUAUUUAUAAAGUAGAAAUAGUGAAAACCAGUAAGUCACAACUGAAGUAUAAUGCCUCUCACCCUAAUUUUAAAAUAUCCUGUAUUUUACAUUGUAAUGGAUAUAGCAUGUUUCAGGCAAAGCUAUUUGAAAAUCCAAAGUUUAUUGCCUUUUCCUCACAGUGUACUCUUGUUGAUGAUGAUGAUGUAAGUGUUCUUUAUCUUGUCUUCUGUUGCAUUUUGUAAUUGUACUACAUAUAUCAUUUUAUUACAUGCAGAUCCAUUAUCUAUUUUUCUGUACCAAAUAAUGCAUCACACUUUUACAUUUGAGUAUCAAAUAAAUUGCCACAUAAAAUAAUGUUUCCUUGUGGAUAUGUCUUUCGUCAUUGAAAAGACUGUAUUACCAAUGUAGGCCAGAGAUUACAAGCUAUAAAGUGAAGUCUAUAGCACCUAGGCCAAUGCAAAGGACACAGGUGUUCAUUAAAUACCCAUUGUCCUUUUGUCAGUUUGCUGAGAAUGACGGUUUCCAGAUUCAUCAAUGUCCAAACACCGCAUAUUCUCAC
This is a long non-coding RNA of Callithrix jacchus (white-tufted-ear marmoset), 3071 nucleotides long. The record is from Ensembl. NCBI's taxonomy places the organism in Eukaryota, Metazoa, Chordata, Mammalia, Primates, Cebidae.